Molecule: ribosomal RNA, 567 nt
Filed under: uncultured bacterium
Lineage: Bacteria
Description: partial 16S ribosomal RNA
Rfam family: Bacterial small subunit ribosomal RNA
Source: RNAcentral
UGGGGAAUAUUGCACAAUGGGCGCAAGCCUGAUGCAGCAACGCCGCGUGAGGGACGACGGCCUUCGGGUUGUAAACCUCUUUUAGUAGGGAAGAAGCGAAAGUGACGGUACCUGCAGAAAAAGCACCGGCUAACUACGUGCCAGCAGCCGCGGUAAUACGUAGGGUGCGAGCGUUGUCCGGAAUUAUUGGGCGUAAAGAGCUCGUAGGCGGUCUGUCGCGUCUGCUGUGAAAACCCGAGGCUCAACCUCGGGCCUGCAGUGGGUACGGGCAGACUAGAGUGCGGUAGGGGAGAAUGGAAUUCCUGGUGUAGCGGUGGAAUGCGCAGAUAUCAGGAGGAACACCGAUGGCGAAGGCAGUUCUCUGGGCCGUAACUGACGCUGAGGAGCGAAAGCGUGGGGAGCGAACAGGAUUAGAUACCCUGGUAGUCCACGCCGUAAACGUUGGGCGCUAGAUGUGGGGACCAUUCCACGGUUUCCGUGUCGCAGCUAACGCAUUAAGCGCCCGCUGGGGAGUACGGCCGCAAGGCUAAAACUUGAAAGGAAUUGACGGGGUCAUAGCUGUUUCCU